AUGCAGAGCCAAACCAACGAGGACGGAGCUGUCAUUCUAUUACAGAGGGUGUGUGCAUUAUGGAUCAUUGAGAACGUUUUUGUGGACCUGUCAGCAGAGGACGUGUGUGCACAGCGUGAGCAACCAGACGAGUAUGAGGUCAUCGCCACCUGAGUGUCCUGGUGCAGUGGGGUGGUCCUGCAUGCUGUGAAUCCAUGAACCACGCCGACUGAAAUAACAGCUUACUUCCUACAUCCAGGGAGGCACCAGCACCACAUGACUCAAAACAUGGGAAAGUUGAGAAAGAAAAAUGUAAAAAUACUAUUAAAUACAUUUUUAUUUUAGGUCAUGUAAAGAUGUGUAAAGGUGUGUCACCAACUCUUAUAGUCUCCAGCUCUUUACUAUUAUCGGUUCAGAGCAUACUUCAGUUCUAUAUUUCAUAUCAUAGCAAUUAGUGAUAUGUCUAGAGUUUUCAAGCCCUCGAGGACUGCCUGCCCUGCUAGUUUACCUACUAUCUCUUCCCUUCCCACAGCUGAUUACCUGGAUCAGGCAUGUUCAGUCAUUCAAAAGCUGGAAGAACACACCUGAGCCAUUAUUAGAUUGGGACACACAAUGUGUGGUGUUGUCAAUAAAUACUUGAUAAUAUCUAUAAAAUGUCAAAUUUUCUGUGGUAGUUUUACUCCAAUAAUAGUAGAUUAUGUAAAAGAAUGUAAAGCAGUUUGGUAAAACAUGUUUUAAUUAUCAUUAAGACUGUUUCUGCUGUUUUACUUUUAGCUGUAAAUGUCCUCAGUCAGCAAACAGUCCAGAUCAGCUGCCUCUGGUGACCGAUGGUGAAUUAGAUCUAGUAUAAUACAUGAAUAGAGCCAGGUAAUGUUCAAUUAUGAAGUUGGCAAAAUAAAAAAAAUACACCUGACGUUAUAUUCUGUAGACACUCUUGUACAAUUGUAUUAAAAAAUGAGUGAGUUUUUCUCCCAGUGCCAAUCAUCUGAAACAUAGACUACAAAGGUACUUCUGGAUGCUGUGCAAGUGUAGUCCACAGCAACAGGAAGUGCCUGCUUGAGGAUAGUUUUGACACACAAGGUUUUACAAUGAAUUAAAACACUGCUUCACUUUUGUUCCUGCUGUUCAUCUAUAAAGUGUGUCGUGUGAGCUGAAAGUGUUCAGACAGUUGUGUGACUAUUCAUUGGUAUAAGGAUGGUGUAAAGCUCAAAGUUGAAAAUCAUGUCAUGUCAUUUCCACACACAAAUGCAAACAAUGUUUGGUUCUGCUUUUCUUUGUCUUACUUUACUGUAAAUUAAGAAAUAUAUAUUUUUUUUUUAUGUUGGUGACAUUUGUAGAUGACUUCCACCCUGAGUCAGGUUUGCUGAAGGUUUCUUCCAUUAAAGGGAACUUUUCCUCUCCACUGUAACUUUGUGCUAUAUGAAUGCAUUAUUGUUUUUUUCUCUCUGUAAGUUUGUACAGUCUCGAUCUUAUUAUCUGAUGUGCCUUGAGAUGAUUUUGUUGUGAUUUGGCGGUACAUAAAUAAAACUGAAUUGAUUGUGAUUGACAUUUUCCACUUGCAUCUAGCUGGGGAUUGACUGCAUGUCAUACCCCCUCUGUCUCUGUGCUGAGA
This is a long non-coding RNA of Anabas testudineus (climbing perch), 1591 nucleotides long. The record is from Ensembl. NCBI's taxonomy places the organism in Eukaryota, Metazoa, Chordata, Actinopteri, Anabantiformes, Anabantidae.